AUUGAACGCUGGCGGCAUGCUUUACACAUGCAAGUCGAACGGUAACAGGCCUUCGGGUGCUGACGAGUGGCGAACGGGUGAGUAAUGCAUCGGAACGUGCCCAGAGGUGGGGGAUAACGCAGCGAAAGCUGUGCUAAUACCGCAUGUGAUCUGAGGAUGAAAGCGGGGGACCAGGCAGCAAUGUUUGGCCUCGCGCCUUUGGAGCGGCCGAUGUCAGAUUAGGUAGUUGGUGGGGUAAAGGCCUACCAAGCCGACGAUCUGUAGCUGGUCUGAGAGGACGACCAGCCACACUGGGACUGAGACACGGCCCAGACUCCUACGGGAGGCAGCAGUGGGGAAUUUUGGACAAUGGGCGCAAGCCUGAUCCAGCAAUGCCGCGUGAGGGAAGAAGGCCUUCGGGUUGUAAACCGCUUUUGUACGGAACGAAAAGGCUCUGGCUAAUACCUGGGGCUGAUGACGGUACCGUAAGAAUAAGCACCGGCUAACUACGUG
This 492-nucleotide ribosomal RNA is filed under the name uncultured bacterium. RNAcentral's name for it is "partial 16S ribosomal RNA". It matches the Rfam family "Bacterial small subunit ribosomal RNA", at positions 30 to 507 of the family's 1533-position model. The record is from RNAcentral.